Long non-coding RNA from Ostrea edulis (European flat oyster), 772 nucleotides. RefSeq lists it as uncharacterized. The record is from RefSeq and is a predicted model, not a curated record. Lineage: Eukaryota; Metazoa; Mollusca; Bivalvia; Ostreida; Ostreidae. The transcript is spliced from 2 exons.
UCGAGUUACUCCGGAACACAGUGUUUAUUCUGUGUUUAGUCACGCCGCGUCAAAAAUGUUCCACAGGGUUACUUCCGGUUUAUCGUUGUUUACCUUUGUUUACCAACAGUCGACACUUCGUGUAUUAGGCCUAGGCUUAAUUUUGUCGAUCAUCAUGAAAUUGAAAUACAUAUGUAAUAGUUUGGGGUGUAUGCGGUACAUAUUUGUUUAUGAGCGUUUGAUAAGCUACUAUUGAUCUACGAAAUACAACGAAAGACUUCGUCAAGAACAGAAUUAAGAAGACGAUGUCGUGUAACUCACACAAGGCCCAGCUGUCUAGUAACCGGAGGGGUAAAGGAAAAGAACGUAUUAGACUCACUGUAACCUGUCAAACAGGUAUAUGGGAACAGGAUCAUUUUCCAUGCCUUUCACUUGAGGUCUUCAGUUUCAUCAUUAAUCAUCUGAAUGUCGGUAUGCCAAACUCUCAUGAUGUCAUGCCAUUACUGGAUAUUCCUUAACACUGGUUUAUUUAAGCCACACUACCUAUAACAUCGCCAAAAUAUUAGACUGAAAAUUUUCAAAUACACAAGAUUUGAAGCAGCAAAAGAAAAGAAUUACAUAUGUAUAACACACAAAAAAGAAGAAAUUAAUUCUCACCUGGCUUAUAUGAACUUUUUACUCCUUUUUAGCUCCCUUUCACUGCAUACCAGCCUAUAACUAGCAGUCAUUAUAUGCAGAUCAGCCAUUGUUAUCAACCUGUGUAUAUAUAUGUUGAAUAAAAUAUGAAUGAAAA